GGGCGGAAGAUGGGCCUCCAGUGCUGGCUGCUCCCCGGAAUGCCCUCCCCACUGCUGGGUCCCCAUCAAUGUCUGUGACUUGGGCGAAACGUUGCCUCCUCAGAGAGGCCACUGUGAGCCCCUCUAGGGAGGGUGGCCCCCCCUGUAGAUUACUCUCUACCAGCAUACCCGCUCCAUGCCCUUCUAGCCCUCCGCAGAGCUGUCAUCGGCUAUCUACUGAUUUGUAUUUUGUUUGUAGUGCGUUUUUCUCAAUAGAUGGGAAGUUCCUCUGUCACCUUGUUGCAUGGACCACGUUGCAUCUGGCAGGCUUCCUGAAACACGCUGAGCUGGGUGUCUCCUCCCUGGCCCCCAGGACUAAUACCACAGCAUUCACCCCACUCAGGUAACCAUGUGUCCCACCUUUGUCCUCCCCACAGAUUGUGCUGUUGGGCAGAGUAAGCAGCAGGAGUUUGUCCAGUAAAUAAAGGCGGCCG
Bos taurus (domestic cattle) is the source of this 473-nucleotide long non-coding RNA. The record is from Ensembl. NCBI's taxonomy places the organism in Eukaryota, Metazoa, Chordata, Mammalia, Artiodactyla, Bovidae.